UCGCCUGUUUUUCAAAAACAUCUUUUCUUGUUAGUUUUUGAAGUAUGGCCUGCCCACUGACUAUUGUUGAAGGGCCGCGGUAUUUUGACCGUGCAAAGGUAGCAUAAUCAUUAGUUCUUUAAUUGUGAUCUGGUAUGAAUGGCUUGACGAGACAUAAGCUGUCUUAGAGGUAUUGUUUAUUGAAUUUGGUUUUUGAGUUAAAAUUCUUAAAUGUUUUUAUGGGACGAGAAGACCCUAUAGAGUUUAACAAUUUUCUUAUUUGUUUAUUGUUUGUUUUAGUUUUAUUAAGUAGGAAAUAUUGUUUUGUUGGGGUGAUGGGAGGAAGUAUAUUUAACUCCUCUUUGUUUUUGUAUAUUUAUUUAUUUUUCUUUGAUCCAUUUAUUUUGAAUACAAA
RNAcentral lists this ribosomal RNA (394 nucleotides) under Mironasutitermes shangchengensis. RNAcentral's name for it is "partial 16S ribosomal RNA". The stretch from base 1 to 210 matches the Rfam family "Archaeal large subunit ribosomal RNA", at positions 1891 to 2146 of the family's 2987-position model. Lineage: Eukaryota; Metazoa; Arthropoda; Insecta; Blattodea; Termitidae. The record is from RNAcentral.